AUGGAGGAAUAUGUUUUCCAUGGCCCACUUCCUCCAACCUACCAACUUCUCCUCAACCCCACUGAGCAAUGCUUCCCGAAGUCCCAUGGGAAGAUCUCCCCUCUGAAACGCUUUCAUUUUGAAACGGGGCCCUAUCAGGGCAUGACCCCAAUGGCUUCUGUUUCUCCAGGUCCCCCUUCUCUUUUCCCCCUCAUUUUACGCCCUGAGAGCAUCCCAAGCAGCGGACUUGUCACCAUCGGGUGCCUGGCAAAAGACGUUGUGCCUCCCGUGAUCAGUUUCACCUGGGACCAUCAGAAUGUCAGCAUCAACCCGGAUUCCAUCAAGCAGUUCCCUUCCGUUUUCAACCCAGUGGGGACUUUCAGCUCCAGCUCGCAGGUGGUCAUCUCUGCCCACGACUGGUGGAACUUCCAGCCAUUCUAUUGCCGGGCUAAUAACACCAAUGGAAACGGAGUCGUACAAGUCGUCCGUCCGACUUCCUGCCUUCAGCCUGAGAUGAUCAUCCGUGCCCCACGCCUAGAAGAUUUUGAGAACUCUAAUCCAAACGCCACCAUUGUCUGCAUGGCGGUUAAUUUGCGCACCGCAAGAGCGACAGUCCAGUGGCAGAAGAAUGGGCACGUGCUCAACUCUGGCUUCGCCACCACUGGGCCAGCUGUGAUGGGUCGCAACGGCUACAGCAUCGUCAGCGAGCUCAUAGUCGACAGGCGGGACUGGGUGUCUGAGAAGACGUUCUCCUGCGAAGUGCGGAGCGAGAAUUUCACCAGCACCAAGAACAUCAGCAAACCUCUUGUUUGUGACAUCGGUCCUGGUUCUGAAAUGAAAGUCCACGUGGGGACCAUCCCGCCAACCUUCACCGAUAUUUACUUGACCAAAUCAGCCAAGCUGACUUGCAGAAUCUCCAAUAUUCCCUAUGAUCAGGUCCCUAAAAAACUGGAUGUCAUCUGGACACGAGAACGUGACAACAAAGAGCUAGAAACCAAAAUUGGACAGGCGACGGCUCAAGACAAAAAUGAGCUGGUAUUUGUUGACGCCACAGCUGCUGUGUGCCCUGAAGAGUGGAACAGUGGAGAGACCUUUAAAUGCAGAGUGACUAUCCCUUCCCUUCUUCCCGCAACUGAGACAAGAAUCCUGCAGAAGCUUAAAAGUAGCGCUUACCACCCUCCCGCUGUCUACGUCCUCCCCCCGCCCUCGGAACAGCUGGCUCUGCAGGAAACGGCCACCAUCACUUGUCUGCUGAAAGGAUUCUACCCCAACGACUUCUUCGUGAAAUGGAUGAGGAACAACGAGCCCGUGGGACCUUCAGAGUACUUCACCAGCCAACCCAUACAGGAGUCCAAGACGCCCGAGCGGUACUUCACCUACAGCACGUUGAACGUCAAAGAGCAGGACUGGAGCUAUGGAGACACUUACACCUGCGUGGUGGGACACGAGGCGCUUCCCCUCCAGACGACUCAGAAGACCGUAGACAAGAACACGGCUUACCUUGAUGGGAUUGUAGCCGUCGAUGACGACGAAGGACUCCUAAACAUCUCAUCCGCCCUUUCCACUUUCAUCGUCCUCUUCCUCGUGAGCCUUUUCUACAGCGCCACCGUGACGGUCAUCAAGGUAAAAUAGCGAAACCAAC
This is a non-coding RNA of Sphaerodactylus townsendi, 1621 nucleotides long. The record is from the annotation of a RefSeq genome assembly. NCBI's taxonomy places the organism in Eukaryota, Metazoa, Chordata, Lepidosauria, Squamata, Sphaerodactylidae.